ACCCCUGGAAUAGCUCAGUUGGUAGAGCAUGAGACUUUUGAUCUCAGCAUUGUCGGUUCAAACCCCAUGUUGGGCA
Non-coding RNA from Podarcis lilfordi (Lilford's wall lizard), 76 nucleotides. The record is from the annotation of a GenBank genome assembly. NCBI's taxonomy places the organism in Eukaryota, Metazoa, Chordata, Lepidosauria, Squamata, Lacertidae.